RNAcentral lists this ribosomal RNA (253 nucleotides) under uncultured bacterium. RNAcentral describes it as "partial 16S ribosomal RNA". It matches the Rfam family "Bacterial small subunit ribosomal RNA", at positions 524 to 776 of the family's 1533-position model. The record is from RNAcentral.
UACAGAGGGGGCAAGCGUUAUUCGGAAUUAUUGGGCGUAAAGGGCGCGUAGGCGGCCUUGCAAGUGGCGGGUGAAAUCCCUCGGCUUAACCGAGGAACUGCCUGCCAGACUGCAAGGCUCGAGACCGGGAGAGGUGAGUGGAAUUCCCAGUGUAGCGGUGAAAUGCGUAGAUAUUGGGAGGAACACCAGUGGCGAAGACGGCUCACUGGACCGGAACUGACGCUGAGGCGCGAAAGCGUGGGGAGCAAACAGG